UAUAUUAGUACAUAAGGUAUGUACAUUAGUAAUUAAGGUUCAUGUUGUUAUAUUCAAUAGGUGUUAGUUGAUGAAUCAGCUCAUAAGCCAGUGUAUGCUGAUCUGGCUAUUGCUGCUAAAGGGAAGAGACCACAGGCAGCACCAACACAAGAACAACCAGUGGUAUAUGCAUCAGUUAACAACAAAUCUGUUCCUCCUCCCAUUCCUCCUCCAGCUGCUCCUCAUAAAGUAUUGUAUGCUGAUCUAUCAAUAGCAGCUGGUAAGAGAACACCAAAGAAUAAACCGCCCACUGAGGAAAGAGUAGUCCAUGCAGCAGUCAAUGGAAAUAGGAAGUCCACUACUCAAGAGCUGAUCAUGGAUAGGUUAGGUGGUCUGGAUAUUCCUCCUCCAAUACCACCAAAACCAAAACCUU
Molecule: long non-coding RNA, 412 nt
Filed under: Amphimedon queenslandica
Lineage: Eukaryota; Metazoa; Porifera; Demospongiae; Haplosclerida; Niphatidae
Description: uncharacterized LOC109591605
Source: RNAcentral